AUCUAGUUAUAUAACUGACGGAAGUGGAAGUGACCACAGGGAGUAUAACAGUUUGACAGCCGACCGUCUGGGCAGAAAAG
RNAcentral lists this non-coding RNA (80 nucleotides) under Clostridium sp. RNAcentral describes it as "ZTP sequence". It matches the Rfam family "ZMP/ZTP riboswitch aptamer (pfl RNA motif)". From Rfam's summary of the family: Previously known as pfl RNA. ZMP is also known as AICAR. The record is from RNAcentral. Lineage: Bacteria; Bacillati; Bacillota; Clostridia; Eubacteriales; Clostridiaceae.